GUUGUUCUUUGGCUCGGUGCACACUCGACAGUUUUGUCCCGCGAGAGAGCGACUCUCGACAGCAGUCACGAGUUAGCGGACACAUGAAUGCGAGUAAUUAUUGAUGGAUAUUCGGUCGAGAGCUUUAUUCUCCAAGAAUAACUCUUAAUAGUGAGUGUCGUCGAUGGACGGAGACUGGAGAGAGACGAUCAGUGCACGUUCCUAUAAGACUUGAACGUUGCGAGUGCGAGUCUCGAUAGCAUACGUCGGAAUUGAGCAUGACUGUCGAUGAUUGUGGAUGGAGAGUGUUAUUCUUCGGCAUCUAAUGUCAACAGCAACAGUCAUCGAAGCAAAUGCCAAAUUUAAAAAACGAUGUUGCACGAUGUCGUCAGAUUCUUUUUACGUCGGAUGACGCAUCUCUAAAAUAAACUGGUGCUACGUAACAGGAAAGACACGUUGCAACAAGGAAAGAUCGGUUAGCACUAACCGAUCUUAUAAAUGUACAAUUCAGGGCUCAAGUUGAUAUUUUGAAUUGCACUACAUUUAAUGCAACUUCUUCGAAGAAAGAAACAUUAAAUCUCUGAGAAAAUUCAGACUUAUAGUCGGACAUCGCCAAUUAAACAGGAGAAUCGAUAUUAUGAUUGAAGACACGACUAUCAUUUAGACGAUCGAAUCUUUCUCGAGACGAGAUCAAGAAUCGGCGGUUUCAGCUCGAAAUGAGACCUCGCGACCGAGUGAAAUUACGCUCGAGCGGAGAACGGCGAUCUUGGUUGCGAUCGACGAGCUGCAGCGACCUAACCUAGCGCGCGAUACCAGCAAGCUCUCCCGCAGGAUCAAUGCGGACUAUCAACCCUCGGCGCUAUCGAGCGAGCGAGCGAGCCGCGACAGUAACGGGGUAACGCGUCGAUCGCUGACUACGUCGAGCGAGCCUCGACGAGGACGAAGCCCGUGAGCGUCACGAGAAAUCACGGUUGCUCGCGUCGUGAACAUUGCGCCGCAAUGUUGGGCACAAUGUUGCCAAGCGCUAUCGUCAACGAGUGCUGCAGGCGGUCGAUGAAUGCGAGACGCGGAGAAAUCUGGCGGCGCUAGGGAACGGAAAAAAGGAAGAAACUAUCGUGUCGCUUUCAAAUGAAGCGACGGGUUUAUAAUGAACUCGCAUCAUUUAUAUGUACACAUUUUCUAAUAAAAACUUCAGUUUUGACUCGAACAUAAUGUUCUCACAUCAUGAAUAUUUA
Molecule: RNA transcript, 1214 nt
Organism: Odontomachus brunneus
Lineage: Eukaryota; Metazoa; Arthropoda; Insecta; Hymenoptera; Formicidae
Gene name: prostatic spermine-binding protein-like
Exons: 2
Source: RefSeq, a predicted model, not a curated record